ACAGAAAUGAUGAGUAAAUGAAACGCCCGCCUAUCAAAAGAGCACAUUUUCCAACGAGACGGACUCGUGACGGAAAAACGCUGGGUGUCACACGUCCAGCCCAGGGGUGAGGAAAAGGGACUGACCAGGAAGGGAGGCCUGCGGGGCAGAACGAUCGGCCUGAGGAGACGCGAGGGCAGAGAGGCUGGAAGCGAGGGGGUCUCAGGGGUCGGGCGGGCUCUCCGGAAUCCCAGGACCGGGGAGAGGAAUCGGCUUCUCCGGGAGUGGAACUGUCGACGCGACCUCCAGGGGUCGACAGGGUGAGGCGGUGGAGGUGGGCGUGCCCGAAUCCCCCUCGCGCCCGGGGACUUGACAAGGCACAGGCGCAGCCUCCUGGAAAUUUUGAGGAUUUGGGUCACUUUGCUCUCCCCCUCCGGAUGCGAGGAAAACAUGCACUGGGCACAGUGGAGAGGAGGAAGCUGGCGGGUUCCGCGGACCAGAGGCGCUGCUGCGGCGGGGCUCCACGCCGCCAUGCCCGCAGAGGCGGCCGGCCUUCCCAGCUGGAAGGCCAAACUCCACAUGGCUCGGUUCCAGAGACACAAGGUCAAAACCUACAGUCUGAGACUGGAGGACUAAGGUAUGUGGCACAUGCACGUGAUUUGGAAAGACAUGGAGAGAACCCCACUGCACUGGCAGCAAGAAAUAGCAGCUGUAUCAUCUCCAGAAGAAGCCUUUGCACUACAGAUUGCUAUGGAGCUGAUGGUCCUCAGAGUCUAUGAAUAAUCCUUCCCUGUGCCUGUGAAGUAAGUCUCUUCAGUCAUGUCUGACUGUUUGGGACCCUAUGGACUGUAGUCCACCAGACUCCUCUGCCAUGGAUAGGUUGCCACGCCCUCCUCCCAACUCAGGGAUCAAACCCGCGUCUCUUACUCCUGCACCACCAGGAGUAGAAAUUCCCUGGUGGUGGUGUGGUAAAUAAUCUAACUGCCAAUGCAUAGGACCCGGGUUUGAUCCCUGGUCUGAGAGGAUACCAUGUGCGUUGGAGCAACUAAGUCCAUGCAACACAAGUACUGAGCCUGUACUCUAAAGCCUGUGCUCUGCAACAAGAGUAGCUACAGCAGUGAGAAGCCUGAACGCAAGUAACUAGAAAGUCGCUUCUGCUUGCUGCAACUAGAGAAAGCCCACGUACAGCAAAAAAUAGGCUCAGCACAGCCCCCAAAACAAAAAGGCAUUGAGUCCUCUGGACUGACCAAAAGAAGCAUCAAAAUGCCAGUCUCCAACCAUACCCCAACCAAGUUUAUGUGGAGAAUUCAUAGCCCUACUGCUGCAAAAAGAGAAAGAAGCCAGCAUAAAGAAGACCUAGCAUAGCCAAAAAUAAAUUUUAAAGAUUAUUAAUGAGAGAAAAAAAC
This 1385-nucleotide long non-coding RNA is filed under the name Bos indicus x Bos taurus (hybrid cattle). Its description in RNAcentral is "lncRNA (ENSBIXG00005017880.1)". The record is from RNAcentral. Lineage: Eukaryota; Metazoa; Chordata; Mammalia; Artiodactyla; Bovidae.